AACGAACGCUGGCGGCAGGCUUAACACAUGCAAGUCGAGCGCCCCGCAAGGGGAGCGGCAGACGGGUGAGUAACGCGUGGGAAUCUACCGUGCCCUACGGAAUAGCUCCGGGAAACUGGAAUUAAUACCGUAUACGCCCUACGGGGGAAAGAGUUAUCGGGGUAUGAUGAGCCCGCGUUGGAUUAGCUAGUUGGUGGGGUAAAGGCCUACCAAGGCGACGAUCCAUAGCUGGUCUGAGAGGAUGAUCAGCCACAUUGGGACUGAGACACGGCCCAAACUCCUACGGGAGGCAGCAGUGGGGAAUAUUGGACUAUGGGCGCAAGCCUGAUCCAGCCAUGCCGCGUGAGUGAUGAAGGUCUUAGGAUUGUAAAGCUCUUUCACCGGUGAAGAUAAUGACGGUAACCGGAGAAGAAGCCCCGGCUAACUUCGUGCCAGCCGCCGCGGUAA
This 447-nucleotide ribosomal RNA is filed under the name uncultured bacterium. Its description in RNAcentral is "partial 16S ribosomal RNA". It matches the Rfam family "Bacterial small subunit ribosomal RNA", at positions 29 to 523 of the family's 1533-position model. The record is from RNAcentral.